GAAACAACCGUGACCGAUGACCACCUGC
This 28-nucleotide small RNA is filed under the name Bombyx mori (domestic silkworm). RNAcentral's name for it is "ovarian small RNA-2651". Lineage: Eukaryota; Metazoa; Arthropoda; Insecta; Lepidoptera; Bombycidae. The record is from RNAcentral.